Molecule: ribosomal RNA, 439 nt
Filed under: uncultured Syntrophorhabdus sp.
Lineage: Bacteria; Pseudomonadati; Thermodesulfobacteriota; Syntrophorhabdia; Syntrophorhabdales; Syntrophorhabdaceae
Description: bacterial SSU rRNA
Rfam family: Bacterial small subunit ribosomal RNA
Source: RNAcentral
ACGCAACGCGAAAACCUUACCUGGGCUUGACAUGGAGAGAAUCUUCUGGAAACAGAAGAGUGCCUCGUAAGAGGAGCUCUCACACAGGUGCUGCAUGGCUGGUCGUCAGCUCGUGCCGUGAGGUGUUGGGUUAAGUCCCGCAACGAGCGCAACCCUCAUCUCUAGUUGCCAUCAUUAAGUUGGGCACUCUAGAAGAAACUGCCGCAGUUAAUGCGGAGGAAGGGUGGGGAUGACGUCAAGUCCUCAUCGGCCCUUAUGUCCAGGGCUACACACGUGCUACAAGUGGGGCGGUAACGAAAGGGUCGACAAACCGUAAGGGGGAGCAAAUCCACUUAAAGCCGUCCUCGGUUCGGAUUGAGGUCUGCAACUCGACCUCAUGAAGCUGGAAUCGCUAGUAAUCGCGGAUCAGCAUGCCGCGGUGAAUACGUUCCCGGGCCUU